UCUUCCCUAGGGGUAACCUGCGGAGGGAUCAUUACACAAAUAUGAAGGCGGGCUGGAACCUCUCGGGGUUACAGCCUUGCUGAAUUAUUCACCCUUGUCUUUUGCGUACUUCUUGUUUCCUUGGUGGGUUCGCCCACCACUAGGACAAACAUAAACCUUUUGUAAUUGCAAUCAGCGUCAGUAACAAAUUAAUAAUUACAACUUUCAACAACGGAUCUCUUGGUUCUGGCAUCGAUGAAGAACGCAGCGAAAUGCGAUAAGUAGUGUGAAUUGCAGAAUUCAGUGAAUCAUCGAAUCUUUGAACGCACAUUGCGCCCUUUGGUAUUCCAAAGGGCAUGCCUGUUCGAGCGUCAUUUGUACCCUCAAGCUUUGCUUGGUGUUGGGCGUCUUGUCUCUAGCUUUGCUGGAGACUCGCCUUAAAGUAAUUGGCAGCCGGCCUACUGGUUUCGGAGCGCAGCACAAGUCGCACUCUCUAUCAGCAAAGGUCUAGCAUCCAUUAAGCCUUUUUUUCAACUUUUGACCUCGGAUCAGGUAGGGAUACCCGCUGAACUUAAGCAUAUCAAUAAGCCGGAGGAA
This 576-nucleotide ribosomal RNA is filed under the name Alternaria brassicae. RNAcentral describes it as "eukaryotic LSU rRNA". The stretch from base 200 to 353 matches the Rfam family "5.8S ribosomal RNA". Lineage: Eukaryota; Fungi; Ascomycota; Dothideomycetes; Pleosporales; Pleosporaceae. The record is from RNAcentral.